UACAGAGGUCUCAAGCGUUGUUCGGAUUCAUUGGGCGUAAAGGGUGCGUAGGUGGCGCCGUAGGUCGGGUGUGAAAUUUCGGAGCUUAACUCCGAAACUGCAUUCGAUACUGCGGUGCUUGAGGACUGGAGAGGAGACUGGAAUUCAUGGUGUAGCGGUGAAAUGCGCAGAUAUCAGGAAGAACACCCGUGGCGAAGGCGGCUCUCUGGAACGCAACUGACGCUGAGACGCGAAAGCGUGGGGAGCGAACAGG
This 253-nucleotide ribosomal RNA is filed under the name uncultured bacterium. RNAcentral describes it as "partial 16S ribosomal RNA". It matches the Rfam family "Bacterial small subunit ribosomal RNA", at positions 524 to 776 of the family's 1533-position model. The record is from RNAcentral.